GAGUUUGAUCAUGGCUCAGCGCGAACGUUGGCGGCGUGCCUAACACAUGCAAGUCGUGGGGCAGCAGACUGCUGUCUUUUGGCAGUAGUGCUGGCGACCGGCAAACGGGUGAGUAACACGUAGCUUACCUACCCAUAGGUUGGGGAUAACAUCCCGAAAGGGGUGCUAAUACCCAAUAAUGAGGAGACUCCAAAGCCCUUAUGGGUGCCUAUGGAUGGGGCUGCGUCCCAUCAGCUUGUUGGUGAGGUAAUGGCUCACCAAGGCUACGACGGGUAACCGGUCUGAGAGGAUAACCGGUCACAGUGGGACUGAGACACGGCCCGCACCCCUACGGGGGGCAGCAGUGGGGAAUAUUGGGCAAUGGCUGAAA
This 370-nucleotide ribosomal RNA is filed under the name uncultured Aquificales bacterium. Its description in RNAcentral is "bacterial SSU rRNA". It matches the Rfam family "Bacterial small subunit ribosomal RNA", at positions 9 to 380 of the family's 1533-position model. The record is from RNAcentral. Lineage: Bacteria; Pseudomonadati; Aquificota; Aquificia; Aquificales.